Molecule: unclassified non-coding RNA, 262 nt
Filed under: Basidiomycota sp.
Lineage: Eukaryota; Fungi; Basidiomycota
Description: partial contains small subunit ribosomal RNA, internal transcribed spacer 1, and 5.8S ribosomal RNA
Rfam family: Eukaryotic small subunit ribosomal RNA (bases 1-47)
Source: RNAcentral
AAAGUCGUAACAAGGUUUCCGUAGGUGAACCUGCGGAAGGAUCAUUAUCGAAUCCUUAGGAUGCUGCUGGCCUCUCGGGGCACUGUGCACUCCGCCUUUUCAUCUCACCUGUGCACUUAUUGUAGGCUGGACUUGUCAUGAGUUCAUGUCUAUGUUUUUAACACACACCUUUAUAAAAAAGUUUAUUGAAUGUCUUUGUUAAGUAGACCUUUAUUGGUCGAAAAAUUAAAUACAACUUUCAACAAUGGAUCUCUUGGUUCUC